Molecule: long non-coding RNA, 203 nt
Organism: Rhincodon typus (whale shark)
Lineage: Eukaryota; Metazoa; Chordata; Chondrichthyes; Orectolobiformes; Rhincodontidae
Exons: 3
Source: RefSeq, a predicted model, not a curated record
CACGUGAUCCUCCACGCGAACUGUGCAGAGUCGCUGAUACUGAGACACCAGCAAUCAUUGCCAAGACCCCUGAUGCCUGAGGCAAAGGUGAUGUUCGACUUCCUUCUACUGCUGCAGUUUGUAUGGUGAUGGUCCUUCCACAGUGCUUUUAGCUUCUGGCAACAAAUGGCCACAAAUCGAUCAAAGGUGAAAGUGACGGUGAA